Molecule: ribosomal RNA, 669 nt
Filed under: uncultured bacterium
Lineage: Bacteria
Description: bacterial SSU rRNA
Rfam family: Bacterial small subunit ribosomal RNA
Source: RNAcentral
AGUAAAGCGGCGCACGGGUGAGUAACACGUGGGUAAUCUGCCCUGGAGUGGGGAAUAACACCGGGAAACCGGUGCUAAUACCGCAUACGAUCACGAUGUCUGCGGACGUUGUGAUGAAAGGAGCAAUUCGCUCCAGGAGGAGCCCGCGGCUGAUUAGCUAGUUGGUGAGGUAAUGGCUCACCAAGGCUUCGAUCAGUAUCCGGUCUGAGAGGACGGUCGGACACACUGGAACUGAGACACGGUCCAGACUCCUACGGGAGGCAGCAGUGGGGAAUUUUUGGCAAUGGGGGCAACCCUGACCAAGCAACGCCGCGUGGGUGAUGAAGUAUCUCGGUACGUAAAACCCUUUCGACGGGGAAGAAACCGCAAGGUUGACGGUACCCGUAGAAGAAGCCCCGGCUAACUCCGUGCCAGCAGCCGCGGUAAUACGGGGGGGCAAGCGUUGUUCGGAAUUACUGGGCGUAAAGGGUGCGUAGGCGGUUCGCUAAGUUGGAUGUGAAAACUCUGGGCUUAACCCAGAGCCUGCAUUCAAAACUGACGGACUAGAGUUCUGGAGGGGGUAGCGGAAUUCCUGGUGUAGCGGUGAAAUGCGUAGAUAUCAGGAGGAACACCGGUGGCGAAGGCGGCUACCUGGACAGAAACUGACGCUGAGGCACGAAAGCUAGGGGA